CCAUCUGAUUUAAUAUCCUUCUAAAGUGUAAUAUUAUCCUUUGAAAAUUAUAGUAAUACAGAACAGUCAAAGACAACAAUAAAUUACACGAAUAUUAAAGCAGAUGGGCAAAAAAAAUCCUAAAAAAUGUCAUCAUAUCUCAAUUCCGGGCGUCUAGAUGAAAAGCGCUCUGAAAGCGCGUUCCC
Long non-coding RNA from Sinocyclocheilus anshuiensis, 185 nucleotides. RefSeq lists it as uncharacterized. The transcript has 3 exons. The record is from RefSeq and is a predicted model, not a curated record. NCBI's taxonomy places the organism in Eukaryota, Metazoa, Chordata, Actinopteri, Cypriniformes, Cyprinidae.